Small nucleolar RNA from Grammomys surdaster, 131 nucleotides. RefSeq annotates it as small nucleolar RNA SNORA17. The transcript has a single exon. NCBI's taxonomy places the organism in Eukaryota, Metazoa, Chordata, Mammalia, Rodentia, Muridae. The record is from RefSeq and is a predicted model, not a curated record.
ACUACCCUUAGAGGGGUUGCAGGUAUAGUUGCUGUGUCAUGUGUGUGUCAUUGGUGGCAGAGAGGAAAGAGACCAUGUCUAUGUUCAGUGUUCUGACAUGCAAGCAUCUGAAUGGUUAGUAGCUUAACACU